ACACCUCAACUCUCAUGGUUUGCCAUGAUGAGCUUGGACUUUGGGGGUCUUGCUGGCCUGCGGUCAGCUCCUCUCAAAUGAAUCAGCUUUCCAGUGUUUGGCAGCAUCACAGGUGUGAUAACUAUCUACGCUUGUGGUUCUCCACCAGGUAACCUUCAGCGAUGGAGGUUCGCUGGGGCUCAUAAAUGUCUCUCCUCGGUGGGGACAGCUCUCUGAAC
RNAcentral lists this unclassified non-coding RNA (218 nucleotides) under uncultured Tomentella. RNAcentral's name for it is "sequence contains ITS2". The record is from RNAcentral. Lineage: Eukaryota; Fungi; Basidiomycota; Agaricomycetes; Thelephorales; Thelephoraceae.